This 604-nucleotide ribosomal RNA is filed under the name uncultured bacterium. Its description in RNAcentral is "bacterial SSU rRNA". The stretch from base 1 to 521 matches the Rfam family "Bacterial small subunit ribosomal RNA", at positions 338 to 873 of the family's 1533-position model. The record is from RNAcentral.
CCUACGGGAGGCAGCAGUGGGGAAUAUUGGGCAAUGGAGGAAACUCUGACCCAGCGACGCCGCGUGAGGGAUGAAGGCCUUCGGGUUGUAAACCUCUUUCAGUAGGGAAGAAGCGAAAGUGACGGUACCUACAGAAGAAGCACCGGCUAACUAUGUGCCAGCAGCCGCGGUAAUACAUAGGGUGCAAGCGUUGUCCGGAAUUAUUGGGCGUAAAGAGCUCGUAGGUGGUUCGAUACGUCGGAUGUGAAAAUCAGGGGCUCAACCCCUGACCUGCAUCCGAUACGGUCGAGCUAGAGUUUGGUAGGGGAGACUGGAAUUCCUGGUGUAGCGGUGGAAUGCGCAGAUAUCAGGAGGAACACCGAUGGCGAAGGCAGGUCUCUGGGCCAAUACUGACACUGAGGAGCGAAAGCGUGGGGAGCGAACAGGAUUAGAUACCCUGGUAGUCCACGCCGUAAACGGUGGGCGCUAGUUGUGCGAACCUUCCACGGUUUGUGCGACGCNGCUACGCAUAAGCGCCCGCCGUCGGGAGGUACGAGCGCGAGAAGUAAACUACGUAAAGUAAGUAGUUAGCGUGAGAGUGCGACGGCGACGACGAGGGAGGAGG